GAUGAACGCUGGCGGCGUGCUUAACACAUGCAAGUCGAACGGAAAGGCUCCUGCUUGCAGGGGUACUCGAGUGGCGAACGGGUGAGUAACACGUGGGUGAUCUGCCCUGCACCUCGGGAUAAGCCUGGGAAACUGGGUCUAAUACCGGAUAGGACGAUGGUUUGGAUGCCAUUGUGGAAAGUUUUUCGGUGUGGGAUGAGCUCGCGGCCUAUCAGCUUGUUGGUGGGGUAAUGGCCUACCAAGGCGUCGACGGGUAGCCGGCCUGAGAGGGUGUACGGCCACAGUGGGACUGAGAUACGGCCCAGACUCCUACGGGAGGCAGCAGUGGGGAAUAUUGCACAAUGGGCGCAAGCCUGAUGCAGCGACGCCGCGUGGGGGAUGACGGCCUUCGGGUUGUAAACUCCUUUCGCUAGGGACGAAGCGUUUUGUGACGGUACCUGGAGAAGAAGCACCGGCUAACUACGUG
RNAcentral lists this ribosomal RNA (466 nucleotides) under uncultured bacterium. RNAcentral's name for it is "partial 16S ribosomal RNA". It matches the Rfam family "Bacterial small subunit ribosomal RNA", at positions 28 to 507 of the family's 1533-position model. The record is from RNAcentral.